AAACCAUCAAGCCUAGCUUGGUCUUGGACACGGUCGAGUGACCGGUCCGUAACCCGUUGGCGGUACAGUCCGGCUUCAAGCGUAGCAAAAAUUUCGCUUCAGGAGUCCGUGGCGGUGCCAGCCAGGCAAUCACAUCUCAAA
This 141-nucleotide unclassified non-coding RNA is filed under the name uncultured Dothideomycetes. Its description in RNAcentral is "sequence contains ITS2". The record is from RNAcentral. Lineage: Eukaryota; Fungi; Ascomycota; Dothideomycetes.